AUGAGCACGGCCCUGUCUACUUGGAAAAGCAAUGUGAAGAGAAUGAUCGAGAAAGGUGAGAGUUAUGAGAAGAUCAAGGAGAAAAAUCCUUCGAUCACCGAAGAUGACUACAACGACUUCAAGAUCAAUUGCUCGAGCACCGCAAGCUCCGAAUCAAGUAAGUGGGGGAAAGAAAUGUGGGAGCUGAACUUAGGGGAACACACACUCGGUCCCAGCGGUUACAGAGUGGCGGAGCCUAUAUGGGACAAGGAGGAGGCGGACCGUGCCGAGCAAGGCCUACCGCCCCUCUUCAAUAAAUACGGUGACAAGCAGACCAGGAACUUUGUCAGGGCCCGGUACAAGAAGGACCCGAAAACAAAGGAGCUUACCACGGAUCCGAAGACCAGGGCGCUUGAGCUUGUUCUGGCGACUGAAAGCAUUAGCGCGGGGUCGACUAAGAGCAACCCUUGGGACACCACUCUAAAUAGGGCGUUGAAUGUAAUGAAGAACAAGGAUAAGCUCAGUAAGCCGACGUCAGCUGGUCGUGUGGCCGGCAAAGGCUUGUCGACAAAAUGGUCGUCAUACUAUAACACUGGUGGGCGAAAGGAGAAAAAGACCAGCUCGGAAAGCCAGGCGCGCGAGGUUCAAGAACUCAGGGCACAGGUGGUGCGGAUUCCGGAGAUUGUCCAAGAGCAAGUGCAACAACAACUCGGAGCAACGAUCACCGCCAUUGUGCCUACCUUGAUCCAGGGGAUUAGUGCGUGGAUUGCGGGUGGCCAACAGGGGCCGCCCCUGAUUCCUAGCUUCACGGCCAGCAACUCGCAGAACGCAAUGGCGGGGCCAUUGGUGUCUCCGGCGGAGGUGGCACGGGAGCUUAAUGCACCCGGGUGUACGCCGGCCGGCACCUCUACAGCAAGCGGCCCCUCCGUCAACUGCACGCCCGCCGUUGGCGGUGCCUCGACAUUAGCCAAGCUCAACGCCAUCAUCACGUGCGCUGCCGAUGUUCCGUGCACUCUCCUACACUUCGUGAACAACGACUUGGUCGAUGUCGCCAAGGGAAAAAUCGUUCAAUCGGGCAACCCCUUGUUCCACGGUACCCAGAUGCCACCCAACUUGUUUAGGGUUCAACUGGUUCGGGUGCUACCAGGCUGCAACGAGUUGUUACCUCCGAUUCGACCCGUCGGGGCCGACGAUGAUGACGUGAUGACCCUCAGCGCUUGCCUGAGCUGGCCCCUGCUUUGGCCGAAGAGCCAGAUUCGUUUGGGGGCGGGGGACACCACCCCAAAGACAACACCGUCAGUCGCCGCCGCCAAGUCGGCCCCAUGGCAAGACCGCCGCAACGGUGCCGGACAUCCCUAUGCCACUGGAUCCAAACAUGCAUAUGGCACAGGAUCAGAACAACGACGACGACGGUACAUUUGCCAAUGUCGAUCAGUACUUUGCCGAUCAUGGGUACGGUGGCGACUUCAUGGGGCCUCCUUCUCAAGAACCCAACCCAACAAAAGACGUGCGCGAUCUAGUUGGUAUCACGGAGAAGCCAAGUUGCAACAGGCGUCGUCUGCAGUUCAGCUCUCAGGAAACGCCUCCAGCUGCCGACUUCACCGAGCCUCAGAUAGGCGAGGUGCGAAAUAUGAUCAGCCCCAACACACUCAAGAAGGCGGUCUGUGA
This 1647-nucleotide ribosomal RNA is filed under the name Triticum aestivum (bread wheat). Its description in RNAcentral is "partial small subunit ribosomal RNA". Lineage: Eukaryota; Viridiplantae; Streptophyta; Magnoliopsida; Poales; Poaceae. The record is from RNAcentral.